AUACUUAUUAUCUAUUCUAUAUCUGUUUUCUCCUAAGCGUAAAUGAGUUUAGACAUGCAAAGGGUAGAUGCAGUACGGGUGGUACUUGAAGGUAGGGAUCAGAUAUCACAGUAUAAUAAAAGAGUUAGCUAGGAUGGGUCUUAGGAGUCGAAAAGUUUCUAAUAUGAUCUUAUUAGUAUGACAAGAUCCAAUAGGCAAUCAAUCUGGAAAGGUCCUAGAAGGAAUGCAAAUGACAAAUAAUGUCAAACUAGUAAAGACAAUGGUGAGGACAAGGGACAAACUAAAUUUAAAUGAAGAGAAUAGGAGUAAAAUGUUGGUUCAUUUUUUCUAGUGAUCAAUGAGAACUCGGAACAUAAAAAGUAUACGGUUAUUAUAGCUUUUUUUUUGAUAUAUAAGUAUUUUAAAAGGUACUUGAACAAUUUGCCAAACCACUUAUGUGAUCCUGUUGUGCAGCCUCUUGACCUAUCAGCAGCAAGCAAUUUGCAUGCCAAACCCCACCCUU
RNAcentral lists this long non-coding RNA (502 nucleotides) under Phoenix dactylifera (date palm). RNAcentral describes it as "long non-coding RNA (PDAC_LNC022837)". The record is from RNAcentral. Lineage: Eukaryota; Viridiplantae; Streptophyta; Magnoliopsida; Arecales; Arecaceae.